This 252-nucleotide ribosomal RNA is filed under the name uncultured bacterium. Its description in RNAcentral is "partial 16S ribosomal RNA". It matches the Rfam family "Bacterial small subunit ribosomal RNA", at positions 524 to 776 of the family's 1533-position model. The record is from RNAcentral.
UACAGAGGGGGCAAGCGUUAUUCGGAAUUAUUGGGCGUAAAGGGCGCGUAGGCGGCCUGGCAAGUGGAAGGUGAAAUCCCUCGGCUUAACCGAGGAACUGCCCUCCAAACUGCUUGGCUUGAGUCCGGGAGAGGUGAGUGGAAUUCCAGUGUAGCGGUGAAAUGCGCAGAUAUUGGGAGGAACACCAGUGGCGAAGGCGGCUCACUGGACCGGAACUGACGCUGAGGCGCGAAAGCGUGGGGAGCAAACGGG